This is a small nuclear RNA of Cebus imitator (Panamanian white-faced capuchin), 102 nucleotides long. The record is from RefSeq and is a predicted model, not a curated record. NCBI's taxonomy places the organism in Eukaryota, Metazoa, Chordata, Mammalia, Primates, Cebidae.
GUGCUCAUCAGCAGCACAUACACCAAAAUUGGAACAACACAUAGAUUGACAUGGCUCCUGUGAAAGAAUGACACACACAGUAAUGAAGCGUCCUAUAUUUUA